RNAcentral lists this ribosomal RNA (253 nucleotides) under uncultured bacterium. RNAcentral describes it as "partial 16S ribosomal RNA". It matches the Rfam family "Bacterial small subunit ribosomal RNA", at positions 524 to 776 of the family's 1533-position model. The record is from RNAcentral.
UACGUAGGUGGCAAGCGUUAUCCGGAUUUAUUGGGCGUAAAGGGAACGCAGGCGGUCUUUUAAGUCUGAUGUGAAAGCCUUCGGCUUAACCGGAGUAGUGCAUUGGAAACUGGGAGACUUGAGUGCAGAAGAGGAGAGUGGAACUCCAUGUGUAGCGGUGAAAUGCGUAGAUAUAUGGAAGAACACCAGUGGCGAAAGCGGCUCUCUGGUCUGUAACUGACGCUGAGGCACGAAAGUGUGGGGAGCAAACAGG